Molecule: ribosomal RNA, 459 nt
Filed under: uncultured bacterium
Lineage: Bacteria
Description: partial 16S ribosomal RNA
Rfam family: Bacterial small subunit ribosomal RNA
Source: RNAcentral
ACUACGUGAGGCAGCAGUGAGGAAUAUUGGUCAAUGGGAGAGAUCCUGAACCAGCCAAGCCGCGUGAGGGAAGACGGCCCUAUGGGUUGUAAACCUCUUUUGUCGGAGAACAAAACCCGGGACGUGUCCCGGACUGCGUGUAUCCGAAGAAAAAGCAUCGGCUAACUCCGUGCCAGCAGCCGCGGUAAUUCGGAGGAUGCGAGCGUUAUCCGGUUUUAUUGGGAUUAAAGGGUGCGUAGGCGGUCCGUUAAGUCAGCGGUAAAAUGGCGGGGCUAAACCCUGUCGAGCCGUUGAAACUGGCAGACUUGAGUUGGCGAGAAGUACGCGGAAUGCGCGGUGUAGCGGUGAAAUGCAUAGAUAUCGCGCAGAACUCCGAUUGCGAAGGCAGCGUACCGGCGCCAGACUGACGCUGAGGCACGAAAGCGUGGGGAUCGAACAGGAUUAGAUACCCUUGUAGUC